GGUUUAGACUUCUUUUGCAGGUCCCGGCGGUGACCGCGACCCCCACAACUCCAGCUUCUCUGGCGCAGGCAGAUUUUUGCACCAACAGGAUUGGCGCUAGAGGAAGGGGUGUGUCUUCGCAGUACCCUUGUUCUUGAAGGAGUGCUCAAUGGGACCACACUCGGGCAUCUUUUCUGGCAUCCUCUCCUCCUCCCUCCAUUUGGUCCUUGCUCGAUGCCUCCCCGUAAGGCAUCCACGCGACGAUCCACAGCCUCCAC
RNAcentral lists this long non-coding RNA (257 nucleotides) under Elaeis guineensis (African oil palm). RNAcentral describes it as "long non-coding RNA (EGUI_LNC058942)". The record is from RNAcentral. Lineage: Eukaryota; Viridiplantae; Streptophyta; Magnoliopsida; Arecales; Arecaceae.